ACUCCUGCGGGAGGCAGCAGUGGGGAAUUUUGGACAAUGGGCGAAAGCCUGAUCCAGCAAUGCCGCGUGAGUGAAGAAGGCCUUCGGGUUGUAAAGCUCUUUUGUCAGGGAAGAAACGGUGAAAGCUAAUAUCUUUUGCUAAUGACGGUACCUGAAGAAUAAGCACCGGCUAACUACGUGCCAGCAGCCGCGGUAAUACGUAGGGUGCAAGCGUUAAUCGGAAUUACUGGGCGUAAAGCGUGCGCAGGCGGUUUUGUAAGUCUGAUGUGAAAUCCCCGGGCUCAACCUGGGAAUUGCAUUGGAGACUGCAAGGCUAGAAUCUGGCAGAGGGGGGUAGAAUUCCACGUGUAGCAGUGAAAUGCGUAGAUAUGUGGAGGAACACCGAUGGCGAAGGCAGCCCCCUGGGUCAAGAUUGACGCUCAUGCACGAAAGCGUGGGGAGCAAACAGGAUUAGAAACCCCUGUAGUCCC
RNAcentral lists this ribosomal RNA (470 nucleotides) under uncultured organism. Its description in RNAcentral is "partial 16S ribosomal RNA". It matches the Rfam family "Bacterial small subunit ribosomal RNA", at positions 335 to 797 of the family's 1533-position model. The record is from RNAcentral.